RNAcentral lists this ribosomal RNA (253 nucleotides) under uncultured bacterium. Its description in RNAcentral is "partial 16S ribosomal RNA". It matches the Rfam family "Bacterial small subunit ribosomal RNA", at positions 524 to 776 of the family's 1533-position model. The record is from RNAcentral.
UACGUAGGGUCCGAGCGUUGUCCGGAAUUACUGGGCGUAAAGAGCGCGUAGGUGGUUUGUCGCGUUGUUCGUGAAAACUCACAGCUUAACUGUGGGCGUGCGGGCGAUACGGGCAGACUUGAGUACUGCAGGGGAGACUGGAAUUCCUGGUGUAGCGGUGGAAUGCGCAGAUAUCAGGAGGAACACCGGUGGCGAAGGCGGGUCUCUGGGCAGUAACUGACGCUGAGGAGCGAAAGCGUGGGGAGCGAACAGG